ACUAUCUGACUUACAUGUACACUAUAUUGCCUCUUGAUUUUGUGACUUUUCUAUGCAAGCUAUUAUUGUCUAAACAGAUGCGUUAUUUAUGCUAGGCUUUUUGAGACAAUCGUCAAUGGGAGAAGCUGCUAAUGAAUUCCUUUAUAGUGCUUUGGACGUGAACUCAUGGUGGUGAUUGAUUUCAAAUGAAAAUUUUCAAGCUGAAAUUAAGUACACAAGCAGCUAAAUUUUGUUUCCAUGAUUUUAUUGUACUUCUCUGAUAUUUUUUUCAUGAUUGCCGAUUGCAGCUUCGACUGUCAUAAAAAUUACGAUGCUCUUCCCAGGGUUCUUGCAAUCUUCACUUUCAGUAGGAAAUACUAUGGUUGCUUGCCAUGCCAAGAAAAUGUAGUUAUGACUUGUGAGGUAAAUUUAAUCUUAGUACAUGCAUGUGCAGGCUUGAGUUGUUAGCCUUCAAAAUUCUUGGAAUAAGAAAAAAAAGGCUCUCCCUGGAGAUAGCUGCAAUUGAGGAGCAUACAAGGGAGAUAAGAUCACCUAAUGGCUAAUGCCCUCCAACAACUAAUGGAGAAGCUUACAACCCUUGGAUUUGGAAAACGACAAGGAGAAGCAGAGCUCAACA
Molecule: long non-coding RNA, 616 nt
Organism: Lolium rigidum
Lineage: Eukaryota; Viridiplantae; Streptophyta; Magnoliopsida; Poales; Poaceae
Exons: 3
Source: RefSeq, a predicted model, not a curated record